AUCCAGUUGACGAGUCCUAAGUAGGGGUAAAACGCGCGUCUUGGAU
RNAcentral lists this non-coding RNA (46 nucleotides) under Schistosoma mansoni. Lineage: Eukaryota; Metazoa; Platyhelminthes; Trematoda; Strigeidida; Schistosomatidae. The record is from RNAcentral.